RNAcentral lists this ribosomal RNA (253 nucleotides) under uncultured bacterium. RNAcentral's name for it is "partial 16S ribosomal RNA". It matches the Rfam family "Bacterial small subunit ribosomal RNA", at positions 524 to 776 of the family's 1533-position model. The record is from RNAcentral.
UACGUAGGUGGCAAGCGUUGUCCGGAUUGACUGGGCGUAAAGGGCGCGUAGGCGGUUCGUACAGUCAGACGUGAAAUUCCUGGGCUCAACCUGGGGGCUGCGUUUGAUACGUGCGGACUUGAGUGCGGAAGAGGGUCGUGGAAUUCCCAGUGUAGAGGUGAAAUUCGUAGAUAUUGGGAAGAACACCGGUGGCGAAGGCGGCGACCUGGUCCGAUACUGACGCUGAGGCGCGAAAGCGUGGGGAGCAAACAGG